RNAcentral lists this ribosomal RNA (435 nucleotides) under uncultured Gammaproteobacteria bacterium. RNAcentral describes it as "bacterial SSU rRNA". It matches the Rfam family "Bacterial small subunit ribosomal RNA", at positions 958 to 1392 of the family's 1533-position model. Lineage: Bacteria; Pseudomonadati; Pseudomonadota; Gammaproteobacteria. The record is from RNAcentral.
AACGCGAAGAACCUUACCUGGUCUUGACAUAUCUAGAAUCCUGCAGAGAUGCGGGAGUGCCUUCGGGAAUUAGAAUACAGGUGCUGCAUGGCUGUCGUCAGCUCGUGUCGUGAGAUGUUGGGUUAAGUCCCGCAACGAGCGCAACCCUUGUCCUUAGUUACCAGCGGGUUAAGCCGGGAACUCUAAGGAUACUGCCAGUGACAAACUGGAGGAAGGCGGGGACGACGUCAAGUCAUCAUGGCCCUUACGACCAGGGCUACACACGUGCUACAAUGGUAGGUACAGAGGGCAGCUACACAGCGAUGUGAUGCGAAUCUCAAAAAGCCUAUCGUAGUCCAGAUUGGAGUCUGCAACUCGACUCCAUGAAGUAGGAAUCGCUAGUAAUCGCGGAUCAGAAUGCCGCGGUGAAUACGUUCCCGGGCCUUGUACACACCG